CUGGGAGGCAUCAGGACUGCUGUCAGUUCUGCCACUGUCAGGCUACAGACAGAGCUACAUGUCAUCUCGGGAGAGUGAAAAAAGGUGUAUUUUUUUCCACCUAACUUGUCAGCCCAGUUCUGGCCCUCUCCUGUGUAUUUAAAGUAAUUGCUCAUGGCAGUCAAGGUGUCUGCAUAAGGGCCUGUCAUAAGCAAUCCACUGGCAUGAGUAGGGGCCUUGUGUAUGAACCUAAUCCAGUCAGUGAAGCCAAAUGGACGGACGGAGGGGGUUAAGAAGUUGUUCAAGAGGAACCUGGAAAAAAGUUCACCACACACACAAAAAAAUGAAUUCAGCUGUUUUCAUUUCUGCUUCAGCUGUUUCGUCAUGAGACUCCUCCGUGACAAAUUUACUGUACACUCAAAAGUAACCUACUAUAUUUUCUGGUUAUUAUCACCAGUCUUUCCCCUUGUUUCCUUUUGCACUUGUGUCUAAUAAAAAUGUCUAAUAGUACACGGUCA
Dicentrarchus labrax (European seabass) is the source of this 497-nucleotide long non-coding RNA. RefSeq lists it as uncharacterized. The transcript is spliced from 4 exons. NCBI's taxonomy places the organism in Eukaryota, Metazoa, Chordata, Actinopteri, Moronidae. The record is from RefSeq and is a predicted model, not a curated record.